GAAAUGCGAUAAGUAAUGUGAAUUACAGAAUUCAGUGAAUCAUCGAAUCUUUGAACGCACAUUGCGCCCGCCAGUAUUCUGGCGGGCAUGCCUGUCCGAGCGUCAUUUCAACCAUCAAGCCCCCGGGCUUGUGUUGGGGACCUGCGGCUGCCCGCAGGCCCUGAAAACCAGUGUCGGGCUCGCUGUCACACCGAGCGUAGUAGCAAUCACCUCGCUCAGGGCGUGCUGCGGGUUCCGGCCGUUAAACAGCCUUACAAAACCCAAGGUUGACCUCGGAUCAGGUAGGAAGACCCGCUGAACUUAAGC
Molecule: unclassified non-coding RNA, 306 nt
Filed under: plant metagenome
Description: partial contains 5.8S ribosomal RNA, internal transcribed spacer 2, and large subunit ribosomal RNA
Rfam family: 5.8S ribosomal RNA (bases 1-105)
Source: RNAcentral